RNAcentral lists this ribosomal RNA (1404 nucleotides) under uncultured bacterium. RNAcentral describes it as "bacterial SSU rRNA". It matches the Rfam family "Bacterial small subunit ribosomal RNA". The record is from RNAcentral.
GAGUUUGAUCAUGGCUCAGGACGAACGCUGGCGGCGUGCCUAAUACAUGCAAGUAGAACGCUGAAGAGAAGAGCUUGCUCUUCUUGGAUGAGUUGCGAACGGGUGAGUAACGCGUAGGUAACCUGCCUGGUAGCGGGGGAUAACUAUUGGAAACGAUAGCUAAUACCGCAUGAUAUUAAUUGUCGCAUGAUAAUUAAUUGAAAGAUGCAAUUGCAUCACUACCAGAUGGACCUGCGUUGUAUUAGCUAGUUGGUGAGGUAACGGCUCACCAAGGCGACGAUACAUAGCCGACCUGAGAGGGUGAUCGGCCACACUGGGACUGAGACACGGCCCAGACUCCUACGGGAGGCAGCAGUAGGGAAUCUUCGGCAAUGGGGGGAACCCUGACCGAGCAACGCCGCGUGAGUGAAGAAGGUUUUCGGAUCGUAAAGCUCUGUUGUAAGAGAAGAACGGGUGUGAGAGUGGAAAGUUCACACUGUGACGGUAUCUUACCAGAAAGGGACGGCUAACUACGUGCCAGCAGCCGCGGUAAUACGUAUGUCCCGAGCGUUGUCCGGAUUUAUUGGGCGUAAAGCGAGCGCAGGCCGGUAGAUAAGUCUGAAGUUAAAAGCUGUGGCUUAACCAUAGUAUGCUUUGGAAACUGUUUGACUUGAGUGCAGAAAGGGAGAGUGGAAGUCCAUGUGUAGCGGUGGAAUGCGUAGAUAUAUGGAGGAACACCGGAGGCGAAAGCGCCUCUUUGGUCUGUAUUGACGCUGAGGCUCGAAGGCGGGGGGAGCAACCGGGAUUAGAUCCCGUGGUAGUCCACGCGGUAAACGAUGAGUGCUAGGUGUUAGGCCCUUUCCGGGGCUUAGUGCCGCAGAUAACGCAUUAAGCACUCCGCCUGGGGAGUACGACCGCAAGGUUGAAACUCAAAGGAAUUGACGGGGGCCCGCACAAGCGGUGGAGCAUGUGGUUUAAUUCGAAGCAACGCGAAGAACCUUACCAGGUCUUGACAUCCCUCUGACCGCUCUAGAGAUAGAGUUUUCCUUCGGGACAGAGGUGACAGGUGGUGCAUGGUUGUCGUCAGCUCGUGUCGUGAGAUGUUGGGUCAAGUCCCGCAACGAGCGCAACCCCUAUUGUUAGUUGCCAUCAUUCAGUUGGGCACUCUAGCGAGACUGCCGGUAAUAAACCGGAGGAAGGUGGGGAUGACGUCAAAUCAUCAUGCCCCUUAUGACCUGGGCUACACACGUGCUACAAUGGCUGGUACAACGAGUCGCAAGCCGGUGACGGCAAGCUAAUCUCUGAAAGCCAGUCUCAGUUCGGAUUGUAGGCUGCAACUCGCCUACAUGAAGUCGGAAUCGCUAGUAAUCGCGGAUCAGCACGCCGCGGUGAAUACGUUCCCGGGCCUUGCACACACCGCCCGUC